CCCACCAUGCAUUGUCCCCGAUCCAGAUAAUGGACCUAGGUUAGAAUCCCAACCAUACCAGGGUGGUAUUUCAAGGAUGGCUCCACUCGAACUAGCGUCCAAGUUUCAAAGCCUCCCACCUAUUCUACACAGGUAGAAUCAGAGUUCAAUGCAAAGCUGUAGUAAAGGUGCACGGGGUCUUUCCGUCUGGCCGCGGGUAUACUGCAUCUUAACAGCAAUUUCAAUUUCACUGAGUCUCGGGUGGAGACAGUGUGGCCCUCGUUACGCCAUUCGUGCAGGUCGGAACUUACCCGACAAGGAAUUUCGCUACCUUAGGACCGUUAUAGUUACGGCCGCCGUUUACUUGGGCUUCAAUCAAAAGCUUCGGACGAAUCCUAACCUCAUCAAUUAACCUUCAAGCACCGGGCAGGCGUCACACCCUAUACGUCCACUUACGUGUUUGCAGAGUGCUGUGUUUUUAAUAAACAGUCGGAGCCACCUGGUAUCUUCAACUCUUACCAGCUCAUUUAGCAAGUAAAAUCACCGGCAAGAGCACACCUUCUCCCGAAGUUACGGUGUCAUUUUGCCUAGUUCCUUCACCCGAGUUCUCUCAAGCGCCUUAGAAUUCUCAUCUCGUCCACCUGUGUCGGUUUGGGGUACGGUUUCAUAUAACCUGAAGCUUAGAGGAUUUUCCUGGAAGCAUGGUAUCACGCACUUUUCCCAAAAGAGGGUUCGUUAUCACGCCUUGAGCUUUAGAUCUAAAUCUAAGAUUCCUGGAUUUUCCUAAGAACCUACUCUACACGCUUGAACUUGGACAACCAUCACCAAGCUGCGUUAACCUUCUCCGUCUUCCCAUCGCAGUUAUAUGAAGUAUGGGAAUAUUAACCCAUUUCCCAUCGACUACGCAUUUCUGCCUCGCCUUAGGACCGACUAACCCUACGCCGAUUAACGUUGCGUAGGAAACCUUGGACUUCUGGCGAGGGGGCUUUUCACCCCCUUUAUCGUUACUCAUGUCAGCAUUCGCACUUCUGAUACCUCCAGCAAACCUCACAGUUCACCUUCAACGGCUUACAGAACGCUCUCCUACCAUCGCAAUAAAUUGCAAUCCGUAGCUUCGGUAUGUAGUUUUAGCCCCGUUAAAUCUUCCGCGCAAACCGACUCGACCAGUGAGCUAUUACGCACUCUUUAAAGGAAUGGCUGCUUCUAAGCCAACCUUCUGGCUGUCUGGGCCUUUUCACAUCGUUUCCCACUUAACUACAAUUUUGGGACCUUAGCUGACGGUCUGGGUUGUUUCCCUUUCCACUACGGACGUUAGCACCCGCAGUGUGUCUCCCAUGCUCAUACUUGUCGGUAUUCGGAGUUUGCAAUGGUUUACUAAGCCUUGACGACCCGCUAGCCAUAACAGUGCUCUACCCCCGACAGUAAUACAUGAGGCUCUACCUAAAUAGAUUUCGGAGAGAACCAGCUAUCUCCGGGUUUGUUUGGCCUUUCACCCCUAUCCACAGCUCAUCCCCUUAUUUUUCAACAUAAGUGGGUUCGGGCCUCCAGUUAGUUUUACCUAACCUUCACCCUGGCCAUGGAUAGAUCACCCGGUUUCGGGUCUACUCCCAGCAACUAAACGCCCAUUUAAGACUCGGUUUCCCUACGGCUCCCCUAUUGGUUAACCUUGCUACUGAGAAGUAAGUCGCUGACCCAUUAUACAAAAGGUACGCAGUCACGGAAUAAAUCCGCUCCUACUGCUUGUAUGCAUACGAUUUCAGGUUCUAUUUCACUCCCCUCCCGGGGUUCUUUUCGCCUUUCCCUCACGGUACUUGUUCACUAUCGGUCAUUAGAGAGUAUUUAGCCUUGGA
Molecule: ribosomal RNA, 1829 nt
Filed under: Vesicomya sp. mt-II symbiont
Lineage: Bacteria; Pseudomonadati; Pseudomonadota; Gammaproteobacteria
Description: partial 23S ribosomal RNA
Source: RNAcentral